GUGAAAUAAUAAGUGUGUACCCAUACAUAACCGUUCUAUGUUCGGAUGUAUGGAGAAACAAUUUGAUCUAUGUGUCCUAACCGUUCCAUGUUCGGGAGGUAGUAGUGUUUUAAGGUACUCAUGUAUGUUGUUCUGUGUUUGGGUAGAUGGGAACUAGUGAUAAGUAACUGUGCUUACGCAUAAUGUAUGAUAACUGAUUAAUCCUCCAUAAAAUGAUGAAGUAUACAACAUGAAUUUGUUUUCUGAUUUAUAUAUGUUUUGUUGUG
This 266-nucleotide long non-coding RNA is filed under the name Carica papaya (papaya). RNAcentral describes it as "long non-coding RNA (CPAP_LNC015333)". Lineage: Eukaryota; Viridiplantae; Streptophyta; Magnoliopsida; Brassicales; Caricaceae. The record is from RNAcentral.